RNAcentral lists this transfer RNA (70 nucleotides) under Marmota monax (woodchuck). Its description in RNAcentral is "tRNA.Ala". Lineage: Eukaryota; Metazoa; Chordata; Mammalia; Rodentia; Sciuridae. The record is from RNAcentral.
GGGCUGCUGCCCAGUGAUAGAGCGCUCGUCUGGCACAUGUGAGGCACUGAGUUCGAUCCUCAGCACCACA